This 72-nucleotide transfer RNA is filed under the name Annulohypoxylon moriforme. RNAcentral describes it as "tRNA-Arg". It matches the Rfam family "tRNA". Rfam says of the family: Transfer RNA (tRNA) molecules are approximately 80 nucleotides in length. Their secondary structure includes four short double-helical elements and three loops (D, anti-codon, and T loops). The record is from RNAcentral. Lineage: Eukaryota; Fungi; Ascomycota; Sordariomycetes; Xylariales; Hypoxylaceae. RNAcentral also lists the same sequence under 5 other names.
GUCCUCCUGGCGCAAUGGUAGCGCGUUAGACUUCUAAUCUAAAGGUUGCCGGUUCGAGCCCGGCGGGGGAUG